RNAcentral lists this ribosomal RNA (1053 nucleotides) under uncultured bacterium. RNAcentral's name for it is "bacterial SSU rRNA". It matches the Rfam family "Bacterial small subunit ribosomal RNA", at positions 8 to 1084 of the family's 1533-position model. The record is from RNAcentral.
AGAGUUUGAUCCUGGCUCAGGAUGAACGCUAGCGGCAGGCCUAACACAUGCAAGUCGAGGGAUAAGCCCUUCGGGGUGGAAACCGGCGCACGGGUGCGUAACGCGUAUGCAACCUACCUUUCACAGGGGGAUAGCCCGAAGAAAUUUGGAUUAAUACCCCAUAAUAUUGAAGAAUGGCAUCAUUUUUCAAUUAAAGUUACGAUGGUGAAAGAUGGGCAUGCGUCCUAUUAGCUAGUUGGAGUGGUAACGGCACCCCAAGGCUACGAUAGGUAGGGGUCCUGAGAGGGAGAUCCCCCACACUGGUACUGAGACAGGGACCAGACUCCUACGGGAGGCAGCAGUGAGGAAUAUUGGUCAAUGGUCGAAAGACUGAACCAGCCAUGCCGCGUGCAGGACAGACGGCCCUAGAGGUUGUAAACUGCUUUUAUAUGGGAAGAAUAAGGAGUACGCGUACUUUGAUGACGGUACCAUAUGAAUAAGCAUCGGCUAACUCCGUGCCAGCAGCCGCGGUAAUACGGAGGAUGCGAGCGUUAUUCGGAAUCAUUGGGUUUAAAGGGUCUGUAGGCGGGCUAUUAAGUCAGAGGUGAAAGGUUUCAGCUUAACUGAGAAAUUGCCUUUGAUACUGGUAGUCUUGAAUAUCUGUGAAGUUCUUGGAAUGUGUAGUGUAGCGGUGAAAUGCUUAGAUAUUACACAGAACACCGAUUGCGGAGGCAGGGGACUAACAGAUGAUUGACGCUGAGAGACGAAAGCGUGGGGAGCGAACAGGAUUAGAUACCCUGGUAGUCCACGCUGUAAACGAUGGAUACUAGCUGUUUGGCGUAAGCUGAGUGGCUAAGCGAAAGUGAUAAGUAUCCCACCUGGGGAGUACGCACGCAAGUGUGAAACUCAAAGGAAUUGACGGGGCCCGCACAAGCGGUGAGCAUGUGGUUUAUUCGAUGAUACGCGAGGAACCUUACUAGGUUUAAAUGGGACUGACAGGGUAGAGAUACUUUUUCUCGGACAGUUCAAGUGCUGCAUGAUGUCGUCAGCCCGUGCGUGAGGUGUCAGGUUAAG